GUGGGGAAUCUUCCGCAAUGGACGAAAGUCUGACGGAGCAACGCCGCGUGAGUGAAGAAGGUUUUCGGAUCGUAAAGCUCUUUCGUUAGGGACGAACGUGCUCUUUGUGAAUAAUGAGGAGUAAUGACGGUACCUAAAUAAGAAGCCACGGCUAACUACGUGCCAGCAGCCGCGGUAAUACGUAGGUGGCAAGCGUUGUCCGGAAUUAUUGGGCGUAAAGCGCGCGCAGGCGGGAUAUCAAGUCUGUCUUAAAAGUGCGAGGCUCAACCUCGUGAGGGGACAGAAACUGGUAUUCUUGAGUGUCGGAGAGGAAAGUGGAAUUCCAAGUGUAGCGGUGAAAUGCGUAGAGAUUAGGAAGAACACCGGUGGCGAAGGCGACUUUCUGGACGACAACUGACGCUGAGGCGCGAAAGCGUGGGGAGCAAACAGGAUUAGAAACCCCGGUAGUCC
This 450-nucleotide ribosomal RNA is filed under the name uncultured bacterium. RNAcentral's name for it is "partial 16S ribosomal RNA". It matches the Rfam family "Bacterial small subunit ribosomal RNA", at positions 354 to 796 of the family's 1533-position model. The record is from RNAcentral.